RNAcentral lists this ribosomal RNA (201 nucleotides) under Triticum aestivum (bread wheat). RNAcentral describes it as "partial small subunit ribosomal RNA". Lineage: Eukaryota; Viridiplantae; Streptophyta; Magnoliopsida; Poales; Poaceae. The record is from RNAcentral.
AUGGGCGUCGGCCUAUACGGUUACCUGGAUCAAAACCAUCGAAGAACCUUCCAAAACAAUCACCACCAAGACCACCGAUGGAAAGGACCAGGUUGUUGUGAACCCUUCAUAUGCCCCCUGGUUAUUCCAGGACCAACAGAUCAUAGCCUAUCUUCUCAGGAAUCUUUCCAAAGAGGUUCUCGUCCAGGUCGCUUAGCUUGA